UGCAGUCGACGAUACUCUUUAGCUUGCUAGAGAGGAAAGUGGCGCACGGGUGCGUAACGCGUAUGCAACCUACCUUAAUCAGGGGGAUAGCCCGAAGAAAUUCGGAUUAACACCGCAUAAAAUCACAGUAUAGCAUUGUACAAUGAUCAAAUAUUUAUAGGAUUAAGAUGGGCAUGCGUGACAUUAGUUAGUUGGCGGGGUAACGGCCCACCAAGACCACGAUGUCUAGGGGAUCUGAGAGGAUGACCCCCCACACUGGUACUGAGACACGGACCAGACUCCUACGGGAGGCAGCAGUAAGGAAUAUUGGUCAAUGGAGGCAACUCUGAACCAGCCAUGCCGCGUGCAGGAAGACAGCCCUCUGGGUCGUAAACUGCUUUUAUUCGGGAAUAAACCUACUUACGUGUAAGUAGCUGAAUGUACCGAAGGAAUAAGGAUCGGCUAACUCCGUGCCAGCAGCCGCGGUAAUACGGAGGAUCCAAGCGUUAUCCGGAUUUAUUGGGUUUAAAGGGUGCGUAGGCGGCUUUUUAAGUCAGGGGUGAAAGACGGUGGCUCAACCAUCGCAGUGCCCUUGAUACUGAAGAGCUUGAAUGAAUUAGAGGUAGGCGGAAUGUGACAAGUAGCGGUGAAAUGCAUAGAUAUGUCACAGAACACCGAUUGCGAAGGCAGCUUACUAUGAUUUUAUUGACGCUGAGGCACGAAAGCGUGGGGAUCAAACAGGAUUAGAUACCCUGGUAGUCCACGCCCUAAACGAUGAAUACUCGCUGUUAGCGAUACACAGUUAGCGGCUAAGCGAAAGCGUUAAGUAUUCCACCUGGGGAGUACGGUCGCAAGAUUGAAACUCAAAGGAAUUGACGGGGGCCCGCACAAGCGGAGGAGCAUGUGGUUUAAUUCGAUGAUACGCGAGGAACCUUACCCGGGCUUGAAAGUUAGUGAAUCAUUUAGAGAUAGAUGAGUCCGCAAGGACACGAAACUAGGUGCUGCAUGGCUGUCGUCAGCUCGUGCCGUGAGGUGUUGGGUUAAGUCCCGCAACGAGCGCAACCCCUAUGUUUAGUUGCCAGCACGUUAAGGUGGGGACUCUAAACAGACUGCCUGUGCAAACAGAGAGGAAGGAGGGGACGACGUCAAGUCAUCAUGGCCCUUACGUCCGGGGCUACACACGUGCUACAAUGGAUGGUACAGAGGGCAGCAAGCUGGUAACAGCAAGCAAAUCUCCAAAAGCCAUUCACAGUUCGGAUAGAGGUCUGCAACUCGACCUCUUGAAGUUGGAUUCGCUAGUAAUCGUAUAUCAGCAAUGAUACGGUGAAUACGUUCCCGGGCCUUGUACACACCGCCCGUCAAGCCAUGGAAGUUGGGGGUACCUAAAGUAUGUAACCGCAAGGAGCGUCCUA
Molecule: ribosomal RNA, 1391 nt
Filed under: Pedobacter cryoconitis
Lineage: Bacteria; Pseudomonadati; Bacteroidota; Sphingobacteriia; Sphingobacteriales; Sphingobacteriaceae
Description: bacterial SSU rRNA
Rfam family: Bacterial small subunit ribosomal RNA
Source: RNAcentral